GAUGAACGCUGGCGGCGUGCCUAAUACAUGCAAGUCGAGCGAACCGACGAGGAGCUUGCUCCUCUGACGUUAGCGGCGGACGGGUGAGUAACACGUGGAUAACCUACCUAUAAGACUGGGAUAACUUCGGGAAACCGGAGCUAAUAACGGAUAAUAUAUUGCACCGCAUGGUUCAAUAGUGAAAGACGGUUUUGCUGUCACUUAUAGAUGGCUCCGCGCCGCAUUAGUUAGUUGGUAAGGGAACGGCUUACCAAGGCAACGAUGCGUAGCCGACCUGAGCGGGUGAUCGGCCACACUGGAACUGAGACACGGUCCAGACUCCUACGGGAAGCAGCAGUAGGGAAUCUUCCGCAAUGGGCGAAUGCCUGACAGAGCAACGCCGCGUGAGGGAUGAAGGACUUCGGAUCGGAAAACUCUGUUAUUAGGGAAGAACAAAUGUUUAAGUAACUAUGCACGUCUUGACGGUACCUAAACAGAAAGCCACGGCUAACUACGUG
RNAcentral lists this ribosomal RNA (497 nucleotides) under uncultured bacterium. RNAcentral describes it as "partial 16S ribosomal RNA". It matches the Rfam family "Bacterial small subunit ribosomal RNA", at positions 28 to 507 of the family's 1533-position model. The record is from RNAcentral.